This 498-nucleotide ribosomal RNA is filed under the name uncultured bacterium. RNAcentral's name for it is "partial 16S ribosomal RNA". It matches the Rfam family "Bacterial small subunit ribosomal RNA", at positions 29 to 507 of the family's 1533-position model. The record is from RNAcentral.
ACGAACGCUGGCGGCGUGCUUAACACAUGCAAGUCGAACGGGCCCGCUCUCUUUUUUGGGGGUGGGUUGAGUGGCGAACGGGUGAGUAUCACGUGAGUAACCUGCCCCCUGCUCCUGGAUAACUGCUUGAAAGGGCGGCUAAUACGGGGUGUGCCGGCUGGUCCGCAUGGGCCUGGUCGGGAUAGUUUCAUCUUCGGGUGUUUCGGUGGGGGAUGGGCUCGCGGCCUAUCAGCUUGUUGGUGGGGUGAUGGCCCACCAAGGCGGUGACGGGUAGCCGGCCUGAGAGGGUGGGCGGCCACACUGGGACUGAGACACGGCCCAGACUCCUGCGGGAGGCAGCAGUGGGGGGCAUUGCACAAUGGGCGGAAGCCUGAUGCAGCGACGUCGCGUGAGGGAUGGAGGCCUUCGGGUUGUGAACCUCUUUCUCCGGUGGUGAAGGCCCUGUCCGUUGCGGCGGGGUUGACGGUAGCCGGGUAUGAAGCGCCGGCUAACUACGUG